UGCGUAGGCGGCUUUCUAAGUUGGAUGUGAAAACUCUGGGCUCAACCCAGAGCCUGCAUCCAAAACUGGAGAGCUAGGGUUCUGGAGGGGAAAGCGGAACUCCUGGUGUAGCGGUGAAAUGCGUAGAUAUCAGGAGGAACACCGGUGGCGAAGGCGGCUUUCUGGACAGAUACCGACGCUGAGGCACGAAAGCUAGGGGAGCAAACA
RNAcentral lists this ribosomal RNA (207 nucleotides) under uncultured bacterium. RNAcentral describes it as "partial 16S ribosomal RNA". It matches the Rfam family "Bacterial small subunit ribosomal RNA", at positions 568 to 774 of the family's 1533-position model. The record is from RNAcentral.